This 254-nucleotide ribosomal RNA is filed under the name uncultured bacterium. Its description in RNAcentral is "partial 16S ribosomal RNA". It matches the Rfam family "Bacterial small subunit ribosomal RNA", at positions 524 to 776 of the family's 1533-position model. The record is from RNAcentral.
UACGUAGGUGGCAAGCGUUGUCCGGAAUUAUUGGGCGUAAAGCGCGCGCAGGCGGUCCUUUAAGUCUGAUGUGAAAGCCCACGGCUCAACCGUGGAGGGUCAUUGGAAACUGGGGGACUUGAGUGCAGAAGAGGAGAGUGGAAUUCCACGUGUAGCGGUGAAAUGCGUAGAGAUGUGGAGGAACACCAGUGGCGAAGGCGACUCUCUGGUCUGUAACUGACGCUGAGGCGCGAAAGACGUGGGGAGCAAACAGG